CUGUGUGUGUGCAUGUAUGUGUGCGUGCAUGUGCAUGUGUGUGCAUGCAUGUGUGUGUCUGUGUGCUUGUGCAUGUGUGUGCAUGUAUAUGUGUGCGUGUGCAUGUGUGUGUACAUGUG
Molecule: microRNA precursor, 119 nt
Filed under: Chlorocebus sabaeus (green monkey)
Lineage: Eukaryota; Metazoa; Chordata; Mammalia; Primates; Cercopithecidae
Description: miRNA (ENSCSAG00000022463.1)
Source: RNAcentral